GACGAACGCUGGCGGCGUGCCUAACACAUGCAAGUCGAACGGAAGUAAGUGCUUCGGUAUUUACUUUAGUGGCGAACGGGUGAGUAACGCGUGAGGAACCUGCCUUUCAGUGGGGGACAACAGUUGGAAACGACUGCUAAUACCGCAUGACGCUUCUUAGGGGCAUCCCUGAGAAGUCAAAGCUUUAUGUGCUGAAAGAUGGCCUCGCGUCUGAUUAGCUAGUUGGUGGGGUAACGGCCUACCAAGUCAACGAUCAGUAGCCGGUCUGAGAGGAUGAACGGCCACAUUGGGACUGAGAUACGGCCCAG
This 308-nucleotide ribosomal RNA is filed under the name uncultured bacterium. RNAcentral describes it as "bacterial SSU rRNA". It matches the Rfam family "Bacterial small subunit ribosomal RNA", at positions 28 to 334 of the family's 1533-position model. The record is from RNAcentral.